GAAGUGUGGACGCCAGUCUGCAUGGAGCCGACCUUGAAAUACCACCCUUUAAUGUUUGAUGUUCUAACGUGGACCCGUAAUCCGGGUUGCGGACAGUGUCUGGUGGGUAGUUUGACUGGGGCGGUCUCCUCCUAAAGAGUAACGGAGGAGCACGAAGGUUGGCUAAUCCUGGUCGGACAUCAGGAGGUUAGUGCAAUGGCAUAAGCCAGCUUGACUGCGAGCGUGACGGCGCGAGCAGGUGCGAAAGCAGGUCAUAGUGAUCCGGUGGUUCUGAAUGGAAGGGCCAUCGCUCAACGGAUAAAAGGUACUCCGGGGAUAACAGGCUGAUACCGCCCAAGAGUUCAUAUCGACGGCGGUGUUUGGCACCUCGAUGUCGGCUCAUCACAUCCUGGGGCUGAAGUAGGUCCCAAGGGUAUGGCUGUUCGCCAUUUAAAGUGGUACGCGAGCUGGGUUUAGAACGUCGUGAGACAGUUCGGUCCCUAUCUGCCGUGGGCGCUGGAGAACUGAGGGGGGCUGCUCCUAGUACGAGAGGACCGGAGUGGACGCAUCACUGGUGUUCGGGUUGUCAUGCCAAUGGCACUGCCCGGUAGCUAAAUGCGGAAGAGA
Molecule: ribosomal RNA, 606 nt
Filed under: Escherichia coli
Lineage: Bacteria; Pseudomonadati; Pseudomonadota; Gammaproteobacteria; Enterobacterales; Enterobacteriaceae
Description: partial 23S ribosomal RNA
Rfam family: Bacterial large subunit ribosomal RNA
Source: RNAcentral